This 164-nucleotide unclassified non-coding RNA is filed under the name soil metagenome. RNAcentral's name for it is "partial internal transcribed spacer 1". The record is from RNAcentral.
CACAAAUAUGAAGGUGCCGCAAGGCUUGCAAGGCUGGCGUAUCUCUUACCCAUGUCUUUGGAGUACCUUCGUUGUUCCUCGGGCGGGUCCGCCCGCCUCAUUGGACACAUGAUAAACCAUUUAUGCAGUUGCAAUCAGCGUCAGUAAAAAACUGUAAUCAUUUA